RNAcentral lists this ribosomal RNA (467 nucleotides) under uncultured bacterium. Its description in RNAcentral is "partial 16S ribosomal RNA". It matches the Rfam family "Bacterial small subunit ribosomal RNA", at positions 29 to 507 of the family's 1533-position model. The record is from RNAcentral.
ACGAACGCUGGCGGCGUGCUUAACACCUGCAAGUCGAACGGAAAGGCCCUGCUUUUGUGGGGUGCUCGAGUGGCGAACGGGUGAGUAACACGUGAGUAACCUGCCCUUGACUUUGGGAUAACUUCAGGAAACUGGGGCUAAUACCGGAUAGGAGCUCCUGCUGCAUGGUGGGGGUUGGAAAGUUUCGGCGGUUGGGGAUGGACUCGCGGCUUAUCAGCUUGUUGGUGGGGUAGUGGCUUACCAAGGCUUUGACGGGUAGCCGGCCUGAGAGGGUGACCGGCCACAUUGGGACUGAGAUACGGCCCAGACUCCUACGGGAGGCAGCAGUGGGGAAUAUUGCACAAUGGGCGGAAGCCUGAUGCAGCAACGCCGCGUGCGGGAUGACGGCCUUCGGGUUGUAAACCGCUUUCGCCUGUGACGAAGCGUGAGUGACGGUAAUGGGUAAAGAAGAACCGGCUAACUACGUG